AGCAGUCGCCGCGGUAAUACGUAGGUCCCGAGCGUUGUCCGGAUUUAUUGGGCGUAAAGGGAGCGCAGGCGGUUUAGUAAGUCUGAAGUUAAAGGCAUUGGCUCAACCAAUGUAUGCUUUGGAAACUGUUAGACUUGAGUGCAGAAGGGGAGAGUGGAAUUCCAUGUGUAGCGGUGAAAUGCGUAGUUAUAUGGAGGAGCACCGGUGGCGAAAGCGGCUCUCUGGUCUGUCACUGACGCUGAGGCUCGAAAGCGUGGGUAGCGAACAGGAUUAGAUACCCCCGUAGUCCCUGUCUCUUAUACC
RNAcentral lists this ribosomal RNA (303 nucleotides) under uncultured bacterium. Its description in RNAcentral is "partial 16S ribosomal RNA". It matches the Rfam family "Bacterial small subunit ribosomal RNA", at positions 507 to 808 of the family's 1533-position model. The record is from RNAcentral.